AAGUCGUAACAAGGUUUCCGUAGGUGAACCUGCGGAAGGAUCAUCAACAAAUCUAAAGUUGUUUGGCCUAGCCAACAAUUAUACCAAUGUGAAUUGAGGCCUCGGCCUUUUAUUUUUUUUUUUUUGAACAUUGUUAAUAGCUUUGUGAUUAAAAAAAAAUAUUAACGAGUAAACUAGAGUCUUAUUAAAAAAUUAUAAUUAUAAUAACUUUUAACAAUGGAUCUCUUGGCUCUU
This 234-nucleotide unclassified non-coding RNA is filed under the name fungal sp. RNAcentral's name for it is "partial internal transcribed spacer region". The stretch from base 1 to 46 matches the Rfam family "Eukaryotic small subunit ribosomal RNA", at positions 1786 to 1831 of the family's 1831-position model. The record is from RNAcentral. Lineage: Eukaryota; Fungi.